Long non-coding RNA from Brachypodium distachyon (stiff brome), 556 nucleotides. RefSeq lists it as uncharacterized. The transcript is spliced from 2 exons. Lineage: Eukaryota; Viridiplantae; Streptophyta; Magnoliopsida; Poales; Poaceae. The record is from RefSeq and is a predicted model, not a curated record.
CCUCUUCUCCCCCACGAUAUCCUCCUCCUCUCCUCUCCUCUGCCUCGAUCUGCUCCCAAUCCCAGCCGCCACCCUCCCUCCCUCUAAGAAUCCGAGCUGCUCUCCUCCUCCCUGACCUCUUCCCUAGCGCCCAGCGCCUCCUCCCCUCCCCUGCGACCCACAUCUACCUCUCUCCUCCGCCGUCCAGCACCUCCUCUCCUCCGUCGUCCAACGCCUCGGCCGCAGCCGUCCCACACCGGAAAGGUGGCCCUGCUACCGUCCAGGGGCGCAGCCGCCGCCGUCGCCCCACGCCGGAUCCGGUUGCCGUCGGCCUCGAGCUCGCCGGAUCUGACCGCCUCCGGCCCAGCUGCCCUUGACCCUACCGCCGCCGAAUCUCGUUCCAGAGGCUACGACCCCGACAUCUCCGCCGCCGGAUCCGGGUCCAGAGGCUGCAUCUGUGUUCAUGUGUAAACCCGUUUGGUUUUGAUAGAUGGAUGGAUGCAUAUGUGUAUUAUUGAAUAAUUGUAAUUGUCUUGUUUUGGUUUCUUGAUUAAUUGUAUCCGGUUUUGCUUAUGUA